GCCAGGUGCGGUGGCGCGUGCCGGUAGUCCCAGCUACUUGGGAGGCUGAGGUGGGAGGAUGGCUUGAGCCCAGGAGUUCUGGGCUGUAUUGCGCUAUGCCAAGUGGGUGUCUGCACUAAGUUCGGCAUCAAUAUGGUUACCUCCCGGGAGCAGGGGACCACCAGGUUGCCUAAGGAGGGGUGAACCAGUCCAGGUUGGAAACAGAGUAGGUCAAAACUCCUGUGCUGAUCAGUAGUGGGAUUGCACCUGUGAAUAGUCACUGCACUCCAGCCUGGACAACAUAGCAAAACCCUGUCUCU
RNAcentral lists this signal recognition particle RNA (299 nucleotides) under Aotus nancymaae (Ma's night monkey). Its description in RNAcentral is "Metazoan signal recognition particle RNA (ENSANAG00000001122.1)". It matches the Rfam family "Metazoan signal recognition particle RNA". Rfam says of the family: The signal recognition particle (SRP) is a universally conserved ribonucleoprotein. It is involved in the co-translational targeting of proteins to membranes. The record is from RNAcentral. Lineage: Eukaryota; Metazoa; Chordata; Mammalia; Primates; Aotidae.